GGGCGUUUAACUCAGUUGGUAGAGUGCUUGCUUCGCAUUUACUUACGUAACGUGAUUACGUAAUCAGACGCUGCAUGAAGCCGGGCGUUCGAAUCGCCCAUCGUCCA
Sistotremastrum niveocremeum HHB9708 is the source of this 107-nucleotide non-coding RNA. The record is from the annotation of a GenBank genome assembly. NCBI's taxonomy places the organism in Eukaryota, Fungi, Basidiomycota, Agaricomycetes, Sistotremastrales, Sistotremastraceae.